This 1409-nucleotide long non-coding RNA is filed under the name Mytilus galloprovincialis (Mediterranean mussel). Lineage: Eukaryota; Metazoa; Mollusca; Bivalvia; Mytilida; Mytilidae. The record is from RNAcentral.
UUAAUUGGAUUACUUUUACUUCGUUAUGCUUUUCAUAGUAACAUCUAAUAACUUAAAUUCAACUUGGAUUCAUAUCCUAUUAUAACUCCUGUGCAAGUCACACAAUAAAUUAAUGUCUCAUGAUUCUUAUAAGCAGUAAAACAUUCUAUUAUUUGCUACAGAUGAUGGCCACUAAUUGUAUUGUACAAUAUAGUGAAUUCACAAAAGUAUCAAUGUUUUUAUUAUUGCAAAAAUUAGUAUGACAGAAAAUAAAAUUCGCAUUUUAAAAUUUGAUAGUAAAAUAAAAAACAGUAUUAGAAUAUAUCAAUGGAGUGUUGUAUUACUUUUAAAUUCCCUACAAAAGCUGUACUUUACAAUUUGGAUUAGUUUUUUCUCUCUUUCAAAUUGACAAAUUUUAACUUAAAUAGGUUUUAACCAUACAGACAAAGAGACAUUAUAAACAUGUUAAGUGAACUGCAUCUGAUGUAACAAAUUAGCACUAACCACUUACAGCCACAACAAAACUUUGUUUAUAUAUCAACAAUUUGUAAUUUUUCUUAUCAGUACAAAAUGGAUAAGGAUCUUAGAAUUGUUAAACAAAGUUAUAAAGUUUGUCAAUGUGCACAAGCUUGCGUUCCCAAUCAUGGAUAUCUAAACAAUUACACUUCCUACAUAAAUAUUAAUCUUUUUUUCAUCAUAUUUUGUAACAUAAAAUAUCAAUAUAAGGAGAUAAGUUAUAAUAACUAGUGAAACAACUUUCCAUCAAAUUAAAAAAAAAAGAGAAUAAACUGAACCUCUAAAUCCCAGAUUGUUCACUUAAAUACAAACUAUUUUUCUAUUGAGUGAAUUUCUUGAGAAAUGAGAUUUUAUACUGAAAACAGCAAUUGUUCAAAACAAAUUUAGCUUACAGAGAACAUGAUCUUAAAAAAUCACAGGAUAUUUAUGGAAAUUGCCAGUGUAAAUGAGUUGAUACAAAUUGAUUAUACAGGUUUAUUUACUUGGGCAAUAAGAUGAAUGAACAACAAACAACAGAUCAAUGCAUUAACAAGAAAACAAGACAAAAAUGUGCAUGUGGAGCAACACACAAUGUCAGGUUAAUUCAUUAAGAAGAACCCUGGAAAAGUUUCCUUUGUAUAAAUAAUGUGAAGGUAGUAAUAUUGUCCUUUGAUUCUAGAUAUCAGAUCAAGUAAGACAUUUAGGUAACAUCAUGAUAUGGAACACAGCUUUGUAUUUGACCAUUGCACAAUGUUUGAUGAGGUCUAUAUCACACAAGCUUGGAUUGGAUGAGGUCUAUAUCACACAAGCUUGGAUUGAUCUACCACCAGCACCAUCUAUUUCCACUAACUGUAAGUCUCUAUCAUCCUUUAAUCACAGCAAUCGGCCGAAGUUUGAUGGCUUUCUGACUUAUGCCUGCUGCCUGACCUAUAACA